CUGAAGUGGGCAAGAAAGCUAGAAACUCAAGCAAAUUUGAGCUGAGGAAAAGCCCAGUUUUCAGUGAUGAGGAUUCUGACCUUGACUUUGAUAUCAGCAAAUUGGAACAGCAGAGCAAGUCAGGUAAAAGUUCCAGAAAUGUGAACAACAAAGAUUUUUUUGAUCCAGUUGAAAGUGAUGAAGACAUAGCAAGUGAUCAUGAUGAUGAGCUGGGUUCAAACAAGAUGAUGAAAUUGCUGAAGAAGAAGCAGAAGAAGGAAGCAUUUCUGAAAUAUGAAUGAAAAAAAUUACAUCUUUAGAAAAAGAGUUAUUAGAAAAAAGCCUUGGCAGCGUCGGGGGGAAGUGACAGCACAGAAGAGACCAGAGAAUAGCUUCCUGGAGGAGACCCUGCACUUUAACCAUGCUGUCUGGAUGGGUACAGUGCCCUCUUCUGCAAAGAGUUCACUUCUAUGCUUUUUCUGUGGUUCCAUUUCAUAGAAAGAUUUGGGGCGAUGUUUCUUUUCCCUUAACUUUUUAUUUUAAAAACUUGCAAACACAGAAAAGUUGAUAAAAUCAUACAGUGAACAUCUGUAUUCUAUUCAACUGGAUUCACUAGUUCACAUUUUGUCAUAUUUGUGUUCUCUUUUCCCCAUAUGGAAGAUUGUAUAUUUGCCCUUUUUCCCCCUGAAUCAUUUCAAAGUAAGUUGCCAGUAUCAUAGCAUUUCACUGUUAAGUACUUUUGCAGAUAUCUCCUAAGAACCAGGAUAUUCUCCUAUAUAAUCACAAUACCAUUAAUCCACCCAAAACAUUU
RNAcentral lists this long non-coding RNA (790 nucleotides) under Homo sapiens (human). Its description in RNAcentral is "HSALNT0231252". The record is from RNAcentral. Lineage: Eukaryota; Metazoa; Chordata; Mammalia; Primates; Hominidae.